Non-coding RNA from Pantherophis guttatus, 264 nucleotides. Lineage: Eukaryota; Metazoa; Chordata; Lepidosauria; Squamata; Colubridae. The record is from RefSeq and is a predicted model, not a curated record.
AACGCGCAGGCGCCCAUUUCGUGGCGAGGAGGAAAAAAGUGUAGCCUCUUACAGUUUCAAGAAGAGAAGCAGUGAGUGGCUUUCUCCCGGCUUGGAUCUGGACCUGGACCUGGACUGGGAUAUUUCUUCCACAAUGUGAAACUUGACUUUCUUUCGAUCUGUGACUUCUUUAAUUAUAUCUACCUUUCCUUAGGAGAAUAUUUUGGCAGCUUAUCAAAGAAUGCACAUAUUUUUCUUGUUGGAUUAAAUUCUUUGCUGCAUUUA